RNAcentral lists this transfer RNA (70 nucleotides) under Ochthebius paradoxus. RNAcentral describes it as "tRNA-Lys". The record is from RNAcentral. Lineage: Eukaryota; Metazoa; Arthropoda; Insecta; Coleoptera; Hydraenidae.
CAUUAGAUGACUGAAAGUAAGUACUGGUCUCUUAAACCAUUUUAUAAUAGAUUGACAACUAUUUCUAAUG